RNAcentral lists this ribosomal RNA (687 nucleotides) under Triticum aestivum (bread wheat). RNAcentral's name for it is "partial small subunit ribosomal RNA". The record is from RNAcentral. Lineage: Eukaryota; Viridiplantae; Streptophyta; Magnoliopsida; Poales; Poaceae.
AUGGCGCUCAGCGGCUUGGAUGCCGCGUUCGUCCUCCCCAUGCACUUCCCUUCUCCCUCGGCUUCUUUCGCGCCCGAUUCCUCCUCGACCGCCUGGUAUCCAAGUGUCAUAACUAAUGAGAAUGAUAACUUAAUUGAGACUUUGCAUAAGACUCCAGAGUUGAUGAAGGUGAAAGUGCUAAUGACCAAAAAGUGCGACUCAGGAGAAAAUGAUGUUUCAAUGAUACAAAGGGCUGAUGUUGGUUUUGGUACAUUCAUAGGUUUAUGUACCUCCCUAGCUUCCUUGCCUUGCUGCUCUAGCACCAGCCUCGCCGCUGUUGAGGCAUUCUUUAGUUGUAUAGAUCAUUAUGAAGUAAAUAAUUUGGGGGAAUUCUCUGCUUCACCUAUAAAGAGAUGGGAUCCAUAUGGCAGGGAUGAAAUCCAACUUCAAUUGGCAUGCAAUAAGAUCAAAUGGGAGGAUUUAAACCUUCUUGAGUUACGCAAUCACAAAUAUCUUGCACCUAGAGAAAGAAACUUGGAUGUUUUGAUCACACAAAGUUUGGACCAUGAGCUUGCGGAUGCUAAACAAAAUCUUAGAAUAAUGGGGGUUAUACUUAUUCUCGAGGGCCUUGCAGAGAGUAUUCUGAAUUGUAUUCAUUGCUUCCAAGUAGUUGUUUAUAUUUCUUAUGAGUAUUCACCUACAACUUGA